Molecule: non-coding RNA, 29 nt
Filed under: Mus musculus (house mouse)
Lineage: Eukaryota; Metazoa; Chordata; Mammalia; Rodentia; Muridae
Source: RNAcentral
UCACAAGUCGUGUACUUCAAAACACAAAC